UGGGGAAUUUUGGACAAUGGGCGAAAGCCUGAUCCAGCAAUGCCGCGUGUGUGAAGAAGGCCUUCGGGUUGUAAAGCACUUUUGUCCGGAAAGAAAUCCUUGGCUCUAAUACAGUCGGGGGAUGACGGUACCGGAAGAAUAAGCACCGGCUAACUACGUGCCAGCAGCCGCGGUAAUACGUAGGGUGCAAGCGUUAAUCGGAAUUACUGGGCGUAAAGCGUGCGCAGGCGGUUUGCUAAGACCGAUGUGAAAUCCCCGGGCUCAACCUGGGAACUGCAUUGGUGACUGGCAGGCUAGAGUAUGGCAGAGGGGGGUAGAAUUCCACGUGUAGCAGUGAAAUGCGUAGAGAUGUGGAGGAAUACCGAUGGCGAAGGCAGCCCCCUGGGCCAAUACUGACGCUCAUGCACGAAAGCGUGGGGAGCAAACAGGAUUAGAUACCCUGGUAGUCCACGCCCUAAACGAUGUCAACUAGUUGUUGGGGAUUCAUUUCCUUAGUAACGUAGCUAACGCGUGAAGUUGACCGCCUGGGGAGUACGUCGCAAGAUUAAAACUC
Molecule: ribosomal RNA, 553 nt
Filed under: uncultured bacterium
Lineage: Bacteria
Description: partial 16S ribosomal RNA
Rfam family: Bacterial small subunit ribosomal RNA
Source: RNAcentral